UCGCGGUCUAGAGUCUAGGGCCUAGCUAGCGUUCAGUUUAUGCCGUACGUUCCGCGCGAGGUGUACGGUAGGUAACGCGAAAUACGUAAAUAAAAGACUGAGCUGCAUGUGUAUCACGUACGCGUUGCGUGACUUUCGUCUCAUAUCUAUGAUCCAGAAAACGUGACGACAAAACGAACAAUACGAAUUCCACGAUGUCGCGGAAUUGAUUCAACGGAUGACCUGUCAGCCGGUACGCGUCUUGGUGAAUGCGUCACAUUUUCACGGUUUUGUCAUUCGCUCUUCAUGUUCCAGCGCGCAUUCGCCACAGUCCAAAAUUCAUAACGAUACCAAAGAGUGCAAAAUAGUAUGCGUAGUCAAAGCAGGAUAUCGUCAAGUUUCAUCUUCCUGUUAUGCGUUUUUUUCUCCAGUUCGAUAUGGAUUGUUAUCGGAAAUCCCAUUCGGUACAGGACGAGACGGGAAGCGGAGAUAGCGUCCACCAACUGGACCGCGCUGGCCGACGAAUGGAUCGCAGCGAAGGCCAGGGCCGCCGAAAAGAUGGACGUCGCUCUGCUGCCGUUCAACGAGAGAUUCCGGGAACUACCGCCUACGGUGGAGACCUUUGUUGUUAACGGCACGAACCCUGAACAGAUGGCACGGUUAAAUUACUCGCGGAUGCUAUGGGAUAUGGAAACCGUUCAGCCGAGUGGACAUCUAUCCGGAUUCGUUGACAAGGCUCUUAAACUGCUAGAUCUGAGGCAGGUCAUGAUGGAGGUUGAAACCUCCGUAAUGUCCAAAGUAUCUUGCACCGCGUGCAAAGUAGGUGCCGGCCUGCUGCAACAUUAUAUAAAAGUCGGCAAGAGCGAUGAGGAGAUCAUGGCCAGCAUUUAUCAAUUCUGUGUGUCGCUUAACAUACAGAGCGCUCGAGUCUGUCACGGAGUCACUUUGCUUUUUGGGGGGGAGGUGAUCUACGUAUUGAAACAGGUGACUAUGGGUCCAGCGCAAAUUUGCAGUUUCGUGAUCGGCGAUGCGUGCGACGACGCGUUUAAUCCGCUACAUGAAUGGGAGGUGGCCUUUCCACCGGUCAAGAAACCGCCGAUUAAACCGCCGAUACCGCCGCAGGAAGGCGCGCCGACCUUCAAGGUGCUGCAUAUCUCCGACACGCAUUAUGAUCCGUAUUAUCAGGAGGGUGCGAACGCCGAGUGCAAUGAACGGCUCUGCUGUCGGCUGACAAACGGUGCCCCUUUGACGGCCUCGGCCGCCGCCGGACGAUGGGGCGAUUACAGAAAAUGCGAUACACCCAAGAGAACAAUCGACCAUAUGCUCAAGCACAUUGCCGAUACGCAUUUGGAUAUUGAUUACAUCUUGUGGACGGGUGAUUUGCCGCCCCACGAUGUGUGGAAUCAAACGCGAGAAGAAAAUCUAAAGGUAUUGCGUAACACGGUCGCGCAAAUGGUAGAGAUGUUCCCCGGAAUACCGAUCUUUCCUGCCUUAGGAAAUCAUGAAAGCGCGCCGGUCAACAGUUUUCCACCACCCUUUGUGCCUGAAGAAAACAGUAUCUCAUGGCUGUAUGACGAUCUCGAUAAACAAUGGCGACGCUGGCUACCAGCCGGUGUAUCGCACACCGUUCGUCGCGGUGCCUUCUAUUCCGUUCUGGUUCGACCAGGUUUCAGAAUUCUUUCUGUUAACAUGAAUUAUUGCAACAACAAAAACUGGUGGCUGCUGAUCAACAGCACGGACCCAGUUAGCGAGCUACAAUGGCUCGUGUACGAGUUGCAAGGUGCCGAGAUCAAUGGUGAGAAGGUGCACAUAAUUGGCCAUAUCCCACCUGGACACUCGGACUGUCUCAAAGUGUGGUCGAGAAAUUACUAUCACAUCAUCAACCGCUAUGAAUCAACAAUCACGGCCCAGUUCUUCGGACAUACGCAUUACGACGAGUUCCAGAUAUUCUAUGAUACAUCGGAUCUUGGCAGAGCGCUCAGUAUCGCCUACGUUGGUCCUUCAGUCUCGCCGUAUUAUGAUCUGAAUCCCGGCUACAGAAUAUAUUACGUCGAUGGAGAUCAUCCAAAAACUACAAGAAUGGUCAUCGAUCACGAGAGCUGGGUCAUGAAUCUCAAGGAAGCGAAUCUUUACGAUUAUCCCAUCUGGCAUAAGUUGUAUAGCGCACGACAAGCCUACCAAAUGGCAUCGCUCUUGCCGAAGGACUGGGACUCCCUGAUCGACAAAAUGACCAACGAACCAGCCCUCUUUGAUCUCUAUUACAAGCAUUACUAUAAGAAUUCUCCGGUGCGACCGGCGUGCAAUGACGAAUGUCGCAAGAGAUUGCUCUGUGAUCUGCGCAGCGGAAGAAGCCAUGACCGGAAAGCGUUAUGCCAGAGCUUAGAAGCGAGGAUCGACAUCGAGACUAGAACGGGCUGGCGAGCGUGGAUCUAUAAAGGACUCGCAUUAUCGUAUGUAAAAGACUUGUGGAUCCAACUCUAUUCCGGCAAUAUUGAGACUAAUGAAGUUAAUUAAUCAAUUAUUCCGUAUAAAAAUACGUCGCGAUUAAUAUUUCGAAAAUAUUGAUAUGACAAUGAUCCAUAGUUAACAGUUUUUUUAAUUGAACUGAUUUUAAAUCAAAUAUUUCUCUUUUUUUUUUGUUACUUAUUCUAAAAAAAACUUGCGUAUCUCGAACGCGUAGUUUUAUUCAAUUGCAACUGUUCAUUUUUAUUUUGUAUGCGUUCGUUGCUAGUAAUUCUAAUUUUAAGCGAACAAAUUUAAAGCAAUAUUGAAAAGUCGAAGAAACAACGAUGACUCAUGAUAACACAAAGGCACAUUCUAACAAAAAGUUUGCAGUUGGUUUAAUAAAAAUCGCUUGAAAUAUAUUAAUCGAAUGUUAAUAGUAGCACAAAUAACCCAGCUUAACUGAUGUGUUAACGAAUCACAGAGAAACAUUAACAAUAUAUAGAGAUUAAUAACUAAAGUCUGAUCUUGAAUUGUGAGGAAAAAGAGGAAAUAUAUACAAGCUGCUCAAUUAAUAUAAAUCGAUAUAUUCAUAUAUUAUUGAUAUACUAUAGCAUAUAUGUAUACACAUAUUAAGUAAGCGUAUAAUAUGUAGAAACGCGUCACCUGCUGAUUAAUUUGAUGUCCUAUAAAUUUGGAAACAUGAUUAAUAUAUGUGUGUGAUUUAGAUAUAAUAAAUUAUUUUUAUACGCAUUCGAUAAAAUAAAUAAAAAAUUUCUAUCUAUAGUAUUAUUCAAUUUUUUCAUAAUAUUUUAAUUAUAGUUUGUUAAAAAUAACUGCAAAAAACAAAACAUAUAUGCAGCUAAAGCUGUACAAGUAUGAAAAGAUCGAUCAAUUUGAAUUUAAUUACUUUCGCUAUAUUCAGUUGAAAAAAAACUCACAACGUAAUAUUAUUAUAAUAUUAAAAAAUAUAUAUUAUUGCGUUAAAUAUUUAUAAGAAAAAUAAAAUUAAUUAUGCCAUAUUAUCGGACGGAAUAGUUAUUAUAUCUCUGAAGAUAAAAUUGUUUUUAUUUUGCAAAUAUUUCUUGCAAAAAAUUGAAAAAAAUAUUAUUAUUGAUCAAUAUUAUUGAAGUUGAAUUGCUUGUGUUCCAUUUGCUUGUAUUUUAUUAAAUCAUCAAAAGAAAAACAAGGUUGCUGUAGACAAUAUAUUAUUUCGCGCAAUGUCUCUCACCUUCUUUUUCGCUUAUUAGUAUAUAAGAAUUUAUAGGCGCUAAAUUUUAGAAUAUACGCAAAAAGAGAGACUAAUAAUAGAUUAAUAAUAUAUAUUUAGUAAGCUGUAAAUCUUCUCUACUCAAGCUCUACUCAGCUCUCGUAGAAACAAAGAAAAUACCGACAGGUUCCAUUCGAUAGCACCGAAGCAUCAUUAAUAUUGCUUCGUUUAGAAUGCACGUAUAUAUGUAUGCAUCACACUCGAAUGAGCUUUCUAUAAUCAAAUGUAAAUAUAUGUAUCAUUUCGUAACACUUGCAUGAAAGAUUGAAAACACUAAUAUCUUCAAUGAUGAGAAGAAGCACUAAUAAAAAAAGAAUAUCGAUUCUUCGCGUGUGUUUCAGAGGGUUCUUCGCGAAACAUAUUGCCUCAUAAUUGAAAGCAAUCGUUUUUUUUUUAUGCGAGCUCCUUCGAAUGUCUGCAUUAAAAUUAAAAAAAAAAAAACAGGAACAAAUGCUCUCUAGAUGAAGAGAGAUCAAGAUACUAUACUACGUAAUUUUAACUACGUGCCUUGUCAGAAAAUAUACGCUCUCUAAAUAUAUCCUUCUCUAACACGAAAAUUUUUUAAAUAAAAUAAACAAUAUGAAACACGGUGUUGGGUCCCAUCAAUUGACCAAUUUACUGUAAAUACUGCUGUAGAUACCUUUUAAUCAUUUGAAUUAAUUUCAGCAUCGCGCAAAAGCGCAUCCUAACAAAUGCGCAAGUUGUUUCACGCAAUGCGUAAAAAUGUAUAAGCUUUUCUUAGGCGCACUUAAUUUGCCAAGCGCAUCGCAACAAUACUUGAGCCGGCUUUACUUCAUCGAAAAUACCAAGUUACUUGUACAUAUCUAAAAGUAGAGUCGGUAAUCUUGUUUAUGGUGGUGGAACGUAACAGCCGAUGGUUGAUUCUCUCCUCGCGCACUAUAAAUGUCCGUGGUGAUGGCCAUCCCCAGGUUUGCGUACAAUCUACCAAAGUACGUUUUAGGACUGGGUUAGAGAACAAGAAAACGAAUGCUAAAUGCAGAUGCGUGACUCAAUUUGUGAUGUUAAAUUAUUAAAAUAUUCACAACGUGGUAUUAUAGUAUUCAAGACGCGAAUUUCGGUAUUGUUGACGACCGACGAUUAUAUUAUUCGUCGAAAUUGAAUAUCGUGUGUCGACUCGUAAUUGCUCUCACAGAAUCUAGCAUGCUAUUCCUUCAUAAUCGAAGAAGACUCUAUAAAAAUGAACAAAUUGAAAUGGAUUGAGAAAUAUUCAUUUUUUCUGGGAAGUAUCAGUAGACGAAACGAAUCGAAAAAUGAAUUUUUUGUGCAAAGUCAAAAAUAAGUUUUCUUAAUCCUCGGAAUCGUAUAUCGAUUACAAAAUUUUUAUACUUAAUACAAAGAGUCAGAUUCCAAUUUAAAGACUAAGAAUUUAUGUAAUUUUGUAAAGUAAAUUCUUUCUAAUUCACGUAUUUUCUCCCUCAGUAGAUCACAUACAACAACCUCGUGUAAUGACUUUUUUUUUUAAAUAAAAUAAUGCAGAUGAGCAUAAAGGUCUAAAAGUAAAUAGCGACCAAGAAUGAUAUAUUACGAUUACGUAAUUAUAAUGUACAUUAAGCAUAGCAUAUUUUAGCAGACUUAUUCGCAGAAGAUAAACGUGCGAUCUUCUCACUUGGAGAAACAUGAUCGUGAAAUCACGUGUGCUUUGAAUCAAAGAUUAAAACAAUAAUAUUUCAAUGAGUUCAGUUUGUAUAUGCGAGAAAAGAUCUUAUGUCUCACUUAAUGUAUUUGAGUGAUUAAGUAUUUUAUUAUCGCGUGUUUCUGUAGUAUACAAAUUUGAUCUCAGCGAAAUUAUAAUAAGUUUUCAAUACCUCCUUUGAGAGUCCUCUUUAAUAACAGGCGUUGUGUACAUAAUAUGUAAAUAUAUGCAAAUAUUAUGAUCGCGCGCAGAUUAAUAUUUUCUCUUUCAUUAAUUAUUAGUUAACGAGUGAUUAAUUCAUUAAUUCAUCAACGGCACGUGAUGAAUAUUUCCACGCGAAAUCAUUCCACUUAUAAUAGGUCAGUAAUUAAAUUUCAUGUGUGUUUAUCGAUGAAAUAUUUUUAGUUAUAUUAAAUCUGAUACAAGGUCGUAUGUGCGCGCGCGAUCUUUGGGUGAAGCAAAUAAAUUUACGGAUCAAAUGAACCUGAUGUUUAACACUACUAAACAUGGGGUAUAGUUAUCGAUUCUCUCCCCAGUCAUCUCUGCAACGAAACAUUUAAAAUAUACUGCAAUGUGAAUUUACAGAUUGAAAGUCGCGAAUGCUCCCAGUGUUCCUAAUGUUUCGAUUAAUUGACGACCUAGUCCAAGAUGCGUAUUGAUUACCGUUGACUAUAUUUUACUCAUAUAUAGCAUAUAAUAAAUAUACAUAUAUCUUUUGCAGUUCUCUCGUUAUCGAAAUAAACUAACAAAGAAUGCGUGAAUUAAUAAGUUGUUCUUAAAAAUUCAACAAUUACAAAUCAUUAGUGAUAAUAUUAACAAAAACCUAUAGAAAGAUAUUUUAAUAAGUAAGGAAAGAAUAAUGUAUACCUUCUCGAUACAUUAUACAUUUUAAAAAAUUGACAAAUAUAGUAUGAUAAGAGUAAUGACAUAUUAAAUUACGCAGAGAGAGAAAGUCACGUGUAUGAGCGAAAUUAUUGUAUAUAUAAAGGAAAACUUCUAUUUAUUCACAAGUGGUUAUAUGUUUUUGCUGACAUUGUUAAUUUUAUAUUAAACAUGUUUUAGUAUAUUCAGCCUUA
Molecule: RNA transcript, 6421 nt
Organism: Formica exsecta
Lineage: Eukaryota; Metazoa; Arthropoda; Insecta; Hymenoptera; Formicidae
Gene name: sphingomyelin phosphodiesterase
Exons: 11
Source: RefSeq, a predicted model, not a curated record